RNAcentral lists this ribosomal RNA (200 nucleotides) under uncultured bacterium. RNAcentral describes it as "partial 16S ribosomal RNA". It matches the Rfam family "Bacterial small subunit ribosomal RNA", at positions 524 to 721 of the family's 1533-position model. The record is from RNAcentral.
UACGGAGGAUCCAAGCGUUAUCCGGAAUCAUUGGGUUUAAAGGGUCCGUAGGUGGAUAAUUAAGUCAGGGGUGAAAGUUUGCAGCUCAACUGUAAAAAUUGCCUUUUGAUACUGGUUAUCUUGAAUUAUUGUGAAGUGGUUAGAAUAUGUAGUGUAGCGGUGAAAUGCAUAGAUAUUACAUAGAAUACCAAUUGCGAAGG